RNAcentral lists this long non-coding RNA (238 nucleotides) under Lathyrus oleraceus (garden pea). Its description in RNAcentral is "Pisum sativum (pea) long non-coding RNA (PSAT_LNC008930)". The record is from RNAcentral. Lineage: Eukaryota; Viridiplantae; Streptophyta; Magnoliopsida; Fabales; Fabaceae.
UAAUUUUCAAAUUUAUGUUUUGUACCUUGAACUUCAUGGCUAGUUUUCAAUAUUUUCCAAACUCCAAAUGGAUUUUUGUUCAACAUAACAUUUGUUCCUUAUGUCAAGAUCUUUCCAACCAUUACCCACAUGCUUAUGUUUGGAUUUUACAAAUGGGAUUUUUGAAGAGGAGAACAAUUAUGAUCAAUUAUGCAUUUCAUGUUAAAUCUUCAUGCACAAUCCAUUGCCUUGCCAUCUG